ACGAUGCCUUCGGGCAUAGUGGCGCACGGGUGCGUAACGCGUGGGAAUCUGCCCUUGGGUUCGGAAUAACAGUUAGAAAUGACUGCUAAUACCGGAUGAUGACGUUAAGUCCAAAGAUUUAUCGCCCGAGGAUGAGCCCGCGUAGGAUUAGCUAGUUGGUGUGGUAAAGGCGCACCAAGGCGACGAUCCUUAGCUGGUCUGAGAGGAUGAUCAGCCACACUGGGACUGAGACACGGCCCAGACUCCUACGGGAGGCAGCAGUGGGGAAUAUUGGACAAUGGGCGAAAGCCUGAUCCAGCAAUGCCGCGUGAGUGAUGAAGGCCUUAGGGUUGUAAAGCUCUUUUACCCGGGAUGAUAAUGACAGUACCGGGAGAAUAAGCUCCGGCUAACUCCGUGCCAGCAGCCGCGGUAAUACGGAGGGAGCUAGCGUUGUUCGGAAUUACUGGGCGUAAAGCGCACGUAGGCGGCUUUGUAAGUUAGAGGUGAAAGCCUGGAGCUCAACUCCAGAAUUGCCCUUUAAGACUGCAUCGCUCGAAU
This 537-nucleotide ribosomal RNA is filed under the name uncultured bacterium. RNAcentral describes it as "bacterial SSU rRNA". It matches the Rfam family "Bacterial small subunit ribosomal RNA", at positions 66 to 647 of the family's 1533-position model. The record is from RNAcentral.